RNAcentral lists this long non-coding RNA (1218 nucleotides) under Monodelphis domestica (gray short-tailed opossum). RNAcentral's name for it is "lncRNA (ENSMODG00000045818.1)". Lineage: Eukaryota; Metazoa; Chordata; Mammalia; Didelphimorphia; Didelphidae. The record is from RNAcentral.
AUUUGUAUUUAUUGUAUCAAUCAAUCAAUCAACAUGGGCAGUAGACAGGCUUCUCCUAGACUAUAUGCUCAUCAAGGCAUGAUAGAUGGAACACUGACUCUGGAGUCUUUCUCUAAAGUCAGGUUCAAAUCCUGUCUUUGACAUUUACUACCUAUGUGACCUUGGAAACUGACUUUGACCCUUCGAGCCUCAGUUUCCUCAUCUGUAAAAUGAGAAGGGUUGACCUAGAUAGUCUCUGAGGUCCCUUCCAGGUCUAGAUCUAAGAUCUAUGAGGGCAGAGACUAUCUCUUAAUACAUUUUUAUAACUCCAGAACCUAACCCAGGUCUUCCUAAAUGGUAGGUGAUUAUUAAAUGUUUGUUGAAUUGGACUGAGUACAAAUCUUAUAGAAACAGGAAUUUAGAAGAGAGGGAGAUUAACGAGGGCAGUCAUAGUCCUUUAUGGAGGAGGGAAGGCUUAAAGGAUGGCUACCUGUCAACUGCAUCUAGAGCUUGUGCACAGAUUAGAAAUCAUAUCCAUAAAAUGCUUAUGACAGGCAAGUGAUGAAUGCAAGGUGUCAUUAUUUAUAAAUUCAAAGCAUUCUGUGGUUGUUAUUUCUUGAUUAAUAAUUUCCUGUAUGCUUGGGUGUCUAUAAAUGCCUGCAUCUCCUCAUCUACUUUUCCUGUUCUCCCAGCACCUCCCGCUUCAUCUUCAAAGGCCCACGCUUUUGACUUGCAGAAGAAUGGGACAAUUAGCACUGGACUCCGCCAACCUUGGCACCCCUAGGAAGAAGACUAUUUAAUAUCUUAGGACUUAAAGUAAGGAAGCAAAACCUGAGCUGAUAUGGGGAUUAUUGAAUUUUGUCAUCCUCCAAAUUGGGUACCCCAGCUUCCUGUGGCCCCUGGGAUCUGUGGAUAGCUGUUGGUGAUCAUGGUAGAGAGUCUCUUCAUAUCCUGCUGGAUUUAUGCUCUGGAGUACCCUGUUCCAAACCGGCCGUACACAUAGAUAUCAUCUGUUAUUCUAUGAUAAACUGAAUUGUGCCUAGGAGUUUAAUUCUUCCUUGUGGCUUUAUAUUUAAGAGGUGACUUCUAUAGAGACAAAAACAACCCUAAAGAAUAAUUUUGAAAAAAAAAAAGCUUCUUUUUGUCUUACAGCUUGUUCAUUACUCCCUCCUAUGCCCCAAUCCCAUGGAAAUCUUUCCUUUAUUACAUAAGUAUAGUUAAGGAAAUAUAUAAACACAU